This 253-nucleotide ribosomal RNA is filed under the name uncultured bacterium. RNAcentral describes it as "partial 16S ribosomal RNA". It matches the Rfam family "Bacterial small subunit ribosomal RNA", at positions 524 to 776 of the family's 1533-position model. The record is from RNAcentral.
AACGUAGGUGGCGAGCGUUAUCCGGAUUUACUGGGCGUAAAGGGUGUGCAGGCUGCCCCUCAAGUGGUGUAUGAAAGCACCCGGCUCAACCGGGUCAUGGUAUGCCAGGCUGAAGGGCUAGAGAGCGAGAGCGGGACGUGGAAUUCCGGGUGUAGUGGUGAAAUGCGUAGAGAUCCGGAGGAACCCCAGAGGCGAAGGCGGCGUCCUGGCUCGCAUCUGACGCUCAGACACGACAGCAUGGGGAGCGAACGGG